GCCAGGCGCUCGCUCCCCAGGCCACCGCGGCUCCCUUGUUGCACUAGGGCCUCCGGACGCGCUCCCCGCGCAGGUCUCUGGAACACUCGGGCCGAACGUAAGCCCGCUUGCACUCACACUGCAGUUCACACCCGCAGGCGCGCUCGCACCCACAUUGCCGCUCACGCGCGCUCACACUCCCCCACGCGCGCUCCACUCCCGCUCCAGCCCCGAGCCCCGCGAAGGCGCAGGCACUGCCGCCGAGAGCGCCAAGGGGCCCCGCGGCCUUCCCAUGGCAGACCUAAGCUUCAUCGAAGAUACGGUCGCCUUCCCCGAGAAGGAAGAGGAUGAGGAGGAAGAGGAGGAGGGUGUGGAGUGGGGCUACGAGGAAGGUGUUGAGUGGGGUCUGGUGUUUCCUGAUGCUAAUGGGGAAUACCAGUCUCCUAUUAACCUAAACUCAAGAGAGGCUAGGUAUGACCCCUCACUGCUGGAUGUCCGCCUCUCCCCAAAUUAUGUGGUCUGCCGAGACUGUGAAGUCACCAAUGAUGGACAUACCAUUCAGGUUAUCCUGAAGUCAAAAUCAGUUCUUUCGGGAGGACCAUUGCCUCAAGGGCAUGAAUUUGAACUGUAUGAAGUGAGAUUUCACUGGGGAAGAGAAAACCAGCGUGGUUCUGAGCACACGGUUAAUUUCAAAGCUUUUCCCAUGGAGCUCCAUCUGAUCCACUGGAACUCCACUCUGUUUGGCAGCAUUGAUGAGGCUGUGGGGAAGCCGCACGGGAUCGCCAUCAUUGCUCUGUUUGUUCAGAUAGGAAAGGAACAUGUUGGCUUGAAGGCUGUGACGGAAAUCCUCCAGGAUAUUCAGUAUAAGGGGAAGUCCAAAACAAUACCUUGCUUUAAUCCUAACACUUUAUUACCAGACCCUCUGCUGCGGGAUUACUGGGUGUAUGAAGGCUCUCUCACCAUCCCACCUUGCAGUGAAGGUGUCACCUGGAUAUUAUUCCGAUACCCUUUAACUAUAUCCCAGCUACAGAUAGAAGAAUUUCGAAGGCUGAGGACGCAUGUUAAGGGGGCAGAACUUGUGGAAGGCUGUGAUGGGAUUUUGGGAGACAACUUUCGGCCCACUCAGCCUCUUAGUGACAGAGUCAUUAGAGCUGCAUUUCAGUAGCCAAAGAGGACAGGAACAAGUCUAUCUUCAUGAGGGACAUUGCCCAGAAGGAGAUCAUUUAGAUUGUUUCCAGUUUCUUUUUGCAGAGGAAGACAAUGGUCCUAUAGAGCCCUUGGAUGAGAAAAGGAAACUUUUGAGCUGCACCUUCAGUUUAUCCUCAAAGCCUGCGUUGUCUUCAUCUAAUCCAGCUUUGAUGGAUGUCUGUGAUGGUUGCCUGUACACUUGCUGAAAUGAAAUAUUAGAAAUGGCUGUAUAUUCCAAAGAAACCCUAUAUUAUACAUCAACGUUACUGCUGCUAGGAUUCAUAUUUGCACGUAGUGUUUAUUGCUUAUGUGUAGAGGGAAUGAAACUAGUUUCCAGAGUUGUUAUUAAUCUGAAUAUAUAUCAUGUGUUAAUAUUGAGAAAGGAAAAAUACAUUCCCAGUGUUAGUAGUUCUUCAUUUCCUGUCUCCAACAGAAAAUUAACUCAUUUUAAAACUAGUGUAAUUCUUGAUAAUAAAUUAAGAGUUUUGAUUAAGAACAGCAAAGAGCUUCAAAAUGCAAAGUGAAUGAUUAGUAAAAUUAUGUCUCAUUUUAUUUUUUCAGCACCCAUUCCACAAUUAAUGUUAGGCUGGAUUGCCAUGGGAAACAUUUUUUUGGUGUUAAUGCAGCAACAUAAUACUUUAUGUAUUACUACAUAGUUAAAGGAUUUAACUGAAUGUAUGAAUCAAAUUAUAUUUAUUUGACCUAUUCAAAGCUGUGGUUUAUAGGAAUUUGAGAAAGGUAUAAGAAAUAGGAUAAAAAGAAGGUCACCACCAUGUACCAGGAAUAGCUUUACUUUCCAUAAAUAGAAAUAUAAAUUUAAUGGUAUCCUAUAUUACUUUAGUGUUGUAUACUUUGUAAGACUUAAAAAUAUUUUAUUCUAUUGAUUCCACUUCUUUAGUAUGUUAAGACAUUUCUUUAAAGAUGACCAACAAUAUCCUUAUUUUAGGUAGCAAAUGUAAGCAUAUACUUAGUUGCAGUUAGAUGUGACAGAAUGAGAUAAUUUAUGUAAAGUAGUAGAGUGCCUGGCACAAAGCAAACAAUAAAUGUUAUUGUUGUUAUAAUUGUAAAAUGAAUGACUUCAAAAACAUAGUCCUAGUUUGGAGGGAUUUUGUGAUGAAGAAUAUCUAAGUUAUAGAAAUAGAAGACAGGUGGGAUAAGUAUAUGUUCAGAGUUUUUAGAUGUGUUGAAUAGAGAUGGUAAUAAUGGAAGCAUUAAUUACAAAUGAAAAUCACACCAGAUAUCCCUGAAAUGGAAACAAAGAAGGUUCAUCGUCUAGUCUUGGGCAGCAAGAGAAAGGACUAAGGCUAUGGCAGUGUGAGGAAAAGUCGGGGCUUGGUAAGGGUUGAGAUCUGUUGGUAGCCCUGGAUCACAUGGGGGCAGCACCAGGCAAUGCCCCUGAAAGCAGAGCGAGGUCCUGGACUUCCCUUGUGUAUAACAGUUCCUAGUGUCCGACAAUGAGGAAAUGGCAAAGCAUGGUUAGAAAACUGUGACAAAAAUUUUUACAUCUGGCACUGUUACCACUCACAUGCCAAACAUUGGCUGCACCGGUGUAGCCUUAUUUGUAAUUAACAUCAAAAGACUAGAUCUGAAGACUUCCAUGAAUGAGAGGCCAUUCAUAGGGCAUUUCUGAAACAAAACACUGUACAGGUAUCAGCCUCUCCACUCCUGAUCUGGUUGGUGCUGAACAGUCAGGGAUUGUUCUUGGACUAGCCUUCUGAUGCUGCUUGCAGUCUCCUUUCAUCUGUCCCUGAAAUACACAAAAUAAACAAAUAUAAUAACAUAGUAAUUAAAUGAAUUUCAGGAUAACGUCUAGUUGUUCGGAUUUCACCUUUCACAGGUGUGUGUGUGUGUGUGUGUGUGUUUAUGUCUGUGUAUUGAAGCAAUUUGAAUUUAUUUACUGUAUGUUUUCUGAGUAAAAGACUGAAAUGAACUACUUGGUUCAGAUCAUGGUUUCCAUUGGUGAGAUUGUUUGGAGGCUUAAUAUUGUUUAUGUGGAAAAUCCUUUAAUUCCACAGUUACCUCAGAUUCAGAAUAUGAAUACUGUUUAUAAUAUGCUUUUGUAGGAAUGAAUUUGAAAGGUAGUUUGUCAGUAAACAAAAGUACAACAACUAAUCUCAAAUCUGUUUUAAUGGUGUGAUAGGAAAGAAAAGUAAAACCUAUGUGAUGGACCCUGUAACUGGGGAAGGAAUCUCCCAAAGAAAAAGUAGGGGAGAAUUAAUGACAAAUGCCAUAGAUCUUGAAAUUUAAUUUAGGGUGUGUUUUGUUUAUGAAACAAUUUAAUAAGGCAACAAACUGAAAUGAUUUUUCAUGUAGCCUAUACACAUGUAAGUGCCUCUGAUUCAUGGUAACUAAUGUACCUGAUGGUGUGUAAAGUAAUACUGUUGUCAGAAAGUUUGCAAUUAAGAUAAUUUGAGUUUACUCUUUUUUUGUUGGUCAGUUUAGCUAAAGGCUUGUCAAUUUUAUUGACCUUUUUGAGGAACCAAAGUGGAUUUUGGGGUUUUCUCUAUUGUGUUUCUAUUCUCUAUGUCAUCAAUCUCUGCUCUAAUCUUAUUAUUUUCUAACUUCUGCUUGCUUUAUAUUUAGUUUGUGUCUUUUCCAGCAUCUUAAGGUGGAAGGUUAGGUUAUUGAUUUGAAUUCUUUUUUGAAUAAAGGCAUUAACAGUUA
RNA transcript from Cercocebus atys (sooty mangabey), 3831 nucleotides. It is a transcript of the gene named carbonic anhydrase VIII, with no coding region annotated. NCBI's taxonomy places the organism in Eukaryota, Metazoa, Chordata, Mammalia, Primates, Cercopithecidae. The transcript has 10 exons. The record is from RefSeq and is a predicted model, not a curated record.